UCCUAUGUUACUGAUUCACUGUUCUUUCGGUGCUUUUUGUUGUUGUUAAUCAUUGUGAUGAGCUUUGUUAAAAUUUGCACUACCUAUAUUACUGAGUGUUCCUUCGGUGCUUUUUGUUGUUGUUAAUCAUUGUGGUGAACUUUGUUAAAAUUUGCACUGCCUAUGUUUAACAUUUAAACUCUCAGCUUUUCAGCCCUGUUUGAUUCUUCAUCUCAGGCAAUUGAAUCGAAUCAACCAGGCCUUCCUUUUCUUUUUCUUUUAGUUGAUUCUUAAUUUUUCUAAUAUAUGUAACUUUCUGAAUCAAGUGGAUCAGAUUAUGUAGUUUUCUUGAUUUGGGAUAUUUUCGAAGACGCAUUAGAAGAGCUAUUUUAUUAUUAUGUUUGCUAUAAUAAUAUUCACAUGUUCUGUAUGCUUGUGAUUGUUUCGGUGUUUACAUUUUCUUUCCAAGUCACUUGCAGUGGUUGUUCUCUGAGUUAAGGCUUUGUAUGUGUGUGAGAAUAUGUGAUAAUGUUGAAUGCUGUUGCAUCUAAUAGGAGUUCUUGGAGUACCCUCAUCUUUGGUCCUUUAUAAUUUAUUUAUUAUUUUAUUCUAAAACGGUUUUUUCGGUUGACCACCGGUUGGACCGGUUAGACCAAUAAACCAGUGAACCAGUGACUAAAGCGGUUUGAUGACCGGUCCGGUUUUCAGAACCUUGGUUUUUGUGUUCAAUCAAAAUUUUUCUUUGAGAACUUAGCUUUGCUAUGCUUGAUAAAUUGUGCCAAUUAUGCAUUUAUUGAAAUUGGUAUGCCUCUGUAGAUUCUAAAUAGUGUGUGUCAUGUUUCUGAUUUUGAUAAUUUGAGUAGUUUAUGAAGCAUAGUUCACUGUUAUUGCAAAUGAUUUGGGACUGCUUUUGAGGAGUGUAUGAAGUAGAUUACUUGCUGUGUUUGGAGUUGUGUAUUAAUUAAAUUGGUUAAUUUGUUAUUUGAGCCAUGUUACAGCUUGUUAAAUAAAGUUUAAAGCUUCAAUAUCCAUUUAUUAGUUGGCAAUGUUAAUAUUAUUAAUAAUAUUAAUAAUAAUACUAAUCACAAAGUGGAGAGGGAUUGUAGAAUUUGUCACAUAGGUUUGGAGAGUGAUAGUUCUGAGUCUGGUGUUCCAAUUGAAUUGGGUUGUACUUGUAAAGAUGAUUUUGUUGCUGCUCACAAAGUAUGUGCUGAGACAUGGUUUAAGAUUAAGGAGAAUUUGAGUAUAAAUCCCAUCUUUACUUUAUUCUGUUUAACUGCAAAAUUUGGUUUUUGAUAUUUUUUAAUGCUGAAUUUGAUUGAUUCUAUGGAUAUUUUAGACACCCUUUUGUUUAUGAUUCAUGGAAUUGAGAAUUGGAUUGUUUGAUACUGCUCUAUAUGUAUACUUGUUCUAUGUCUCGGUACUGAGUUUGACAAAUAUUCUCAAUUACUUACAGCUAUGGUUUCCUUCUUGGAUGGGAUUUUAUUUUUCCAAAAGAAAUCAUAGAGAAUUAGGGUUGUGAAUUGUUUAAAAAA
Non-coding RNA from Arachis ipaensis, 1514 nucleotides. NCBI's taxonomy places the organism in Eukaryota, Viridiplantae, Streptophyta, Magnoliopsida, Fabales, Fabaceae. The record is from RefSeq and is a predicted model, not a curated record.